CUUAGAAUAUCUUGUUUUUAUGAAAAAGAUAUUAAAAUUUCUAGAUCUAUUUUUAUUAUUAAUGAGAAGAAAAGGAUUAGUGAAUAAAAUGGCGGAGAUAAAAAUGAAUUUUCGUCAAAGAGUAAGUAUAUGUGAAAUAAUGAGACUUUUUUUUUCUUCUUUUUUUUUGCACGAGUGUUUGUGGAUGCAAUCUCGAGUAAUAAUCGCGCCCAAGAUGAAAUCUCGAUGGUACAGACAUAAUCUACGUCCAAUCUGCCAAUACUGUUAGCUAAUAACACGACAUUAGUCGGUGAAUAUUGCAGCAACAUCGAAAGGAGAUGGUAUAAAUUCCAAAUGAGUAAUUUCGAGGCGUAUUGGCGAUUUCGUUGGAAUCGAAUUGAAUCGUCAAAGGAAUGUGAUUGUAAUAAAGCAUAAUUUGAAUCGUACACGAAUAUAAUUUUAUAAAUAAUUUUGAACGUGUUAAAAAUUUAUAUUCGAGAAAUAUAUGUGCAGAAAGUUAUAUUCGAUUUCAAGAUGGCUAAUCAGUGGCUAAUUAACGUUAGAAUGAUCGUAAUUUGGAUUAUGAAAGUUCACAUUGCAUCCUGGUGUAAGCAGUGAGGUAAUUGUAUCGGUGUUUUCUCACGAUUCUUACCUCUGUACUGAGACGCUGCAUGAAAGUGGUAAGAUGCUCCGUCAAGGUCUUCGUCAGCUUGAAGAGGACUUAGGCUCAAAAGUUUUGGCGCCUCGGCGUGGCCACGAAACCAACGCAUUUCUGGAAUAACAUUAAUAACAACAAUUAUCAAAUUUCUUAAUAUCGAAAGAUUGCAAAGUAAACGAUCGAUCGGUAUAAUAAUAAUAAUUUAUAAAAGUGAAACGAGUUACACUUGCGGUGAAUGGAUUUCGCGUGAACGAAUGGCGACAGUUUCCGCCGUGUUCGCUGAACCGAGGCCCUUCCUUUCUAUCUCGUGAUUGCACUUGUUACUGAUACUGAAUAUUGUGUAAAAAAAAAAGAAAAAAAGGCUUGAUGAACGGGCAACCUUGGCAAAGAAUGGAGGAUGUCAUAAAUUACGAGGCUAUCGUUAAAUCAAUUCAUUGCUACGUUCGACUCGAAAUGCGUCGAUCACAUCGACGAUGUGGAUUAUGGAAUAUUUCAAAAAAGUCAUACAUUCGGAAAAUUCUCAUUCCUUCUUUUUUUUAUUUCGAUCUACCGAGUCAUUUAUUGAUCGAGAUUCAUCGAUAUACAGGCUAGAGGAAUUUAACAAGUGAUUACGUGAUGGACAAAUAUUGUAUUGCUACCUCUUCUUGCAGGAAAAAUUCCUUUCUUGAAGUAACGCUCCUUCUAAACAGAAUAUUACAUUUCAAGAUAAUUAACAUUACUGCAAUUUUUCCAAUUUCUACUAACAAUAGAUCUAUUGGAGAAAAAAAACAAUAUUCCAUCAGAAGUCAGGAUUAUUAAAAAAAAAAUAGACAUAAUCUAUUUUUAUAACUUAUAUAUAUCAUACUAUCGUAAUGAUAUUCGGUUUACAAAUCUAUUUCAAAACAAUUCCAAAGAAUCCAAAGAAAUUAAUCUCUCGGAAAGGAGAAGAAGCGAGGAAAAAAAAAGAAAAAAAAUUAGUAAACAUCUCGAAGAAAUUUGCCUCAUGUACUACUUACAUAAGUACCGUUGCAUAGCAACUGUCGAUGACGAAGCUGUCCUCUUCCCUCUGGCGAGAAUACAUCGUUCGAUCUAUCGUGAUUCUCUGUCAGACGGGAUCCUCACGGAGGCGUUACCGUUCAUCUGUUCCUCGUAGAGACCGUAAUUUAGCCACCUUGUACACUCGUCGAAACGAACCAAGGAACAUAAUAGCUUCUACGAUAACGGUCCAAUCCACGGUGGAAUCCUUCGUGGCGAAUCUUAAUUUUUCCGUGUGAUAGACGCCUCGAUGCGUAACGAGGGAUUUCGAGCGCAUUAUUAUCUUGUCAAGAUUCAAAACGGAACUGUCUUACGUUCGUUAUCGAUUGAACGUAUCAUUAUUUUUUUUUGGAAAUAGGAAUAUCGUUAAUCGUUUGCAAGAUAAAAAGAUUCAAUAUAAUCUUCUUGCAUGAAGAGAAGAAAUAAUAAUGAAUUAAAAGAAAUAUACGUACGAUCGAGUUCGUUUUGAAGAAAUUCACAUAUUUCCCAGUGAGCAUGGAAAUUUUGCUGCAUACACGCACGUGUAGAAUCCUGUUUCCACGUAAUGAGAUGAGAUUAAUACCGCGAAAUCGAGUUAUGCAAGGUGUUAAUGCAUCGAUUAUGUAGCGCGCGAGCAGCGUGAGAGAAAGAGGCGAGGGGAAGACGAGAGAUGCGACUUUCUCCGAUGCAAAUAUGUGUGCCGUUGCUUCCACGACCGCGUCCACUUUUCACUUUUCAUUCAGACGACCGAUGACUAUCGAAGAAGAUGAAUCGAGGAUCAAGGGUUGGCCUUCCGUCGACACCAGGUUCACGGUCAAGCGAACCCGACUCGAGAAAACGCACUGGUUUCUGACACUUGGACGGUCGCGAUUACCAUGUAGAUACUCAGAAAAUAUAUAAUCGUUAAAAUUAGAAUUGUAUUUUAUUUCUUCUGGAAUGUAUCGUUUCAAUAAUUAUUUAAAGGCGGAUGUAUUGUACAUGUAAAUUCUUUUUUAAAAUAUAAAUUUUCUUGGAAAAAUUUGUGGAUGUUGUGUUCAAUUUUCUGUCAUGUGAAUCCCAUCGAUCGAACAUUUGAAGUCAACCAAUGUAUAUUUCUU
Long non-coding RNA from Apis mellifera (honey bee), 2727 nucleotides. RefSeq lists it as uncharacterized. The record is from RefSeq and is a predicted model, not a curated record. The transcript has 5 exons. Lineage: Eukaryota; Metazoa; Arthropoda; Insecta; Hymenoptera; Apidae.